AAUCGGUACUACAGCCUAUGCAAGUCCACGUCUUCUAGCUUCCAUAUAACAGUUUUUAUUUUAAAGGCAUUUUUCGGCGGUUUUUUUUUUUAAUUUUCCAAGUGGUGGAGGUAUUAAGCUCGUUCCGGUCGAACUUAGAUGCUUUUUAUUUUUUAUUUGGAUAUAUUAAGUUCAUCAUUUUGGAGAUGAAGCUGCAUUUUUCUCAGAUUUUGCAAUUGCUUGGCAGGGAGCAGACGCUUAGGAUACUCGUUCGUUCUAGUCAAAAGGCUUUCAGAAUUGAAUAUUGUUUGUCAAAAUUUUGUAAAAAUUAAAAAGAAAUAGAAAAUGGAAAGAAAUACAUUUAAAAUAUUUCUCUUAAAGUUUUUUAGAUGAUUGAACAUUUUGCCACAAAUUAUUUGAAGUCAGACGCAAAUGGAUUGAUCGGAUGUACAGCAAGAUUUCCAUUUCAAAGAAAUCGAACCUUCAAAAUGGGAAUAUGUACGGCCUACAUGUCACAGUGCCCCUAAGUCCAGAAGUCUAUAAGGCUUGAAUUGAAUUGAUUGAUUGAUUUUGCCACAAGUUUAAAUAGAAAGCAAACCUUCAAAAUGGGAAUAUUUACGGCCUACGUAUCACAGGUCUACAGAUAUCUAAAAAUAUAUACAAAUCCACAAAGUCUGCCCAACCGAAAUUGCCAAUUUUAUCGUGUCCCAGAAGAAUCGUGGAAUUCACAGCUGUUCGAAGGAUCCAACCGGAGAGUUAAUCUUUGGGGACUGAGGCUUACCACUAUGCCUAGAAUUGAAGAGCCUACACUUGCACACAAAUGUUACAUCCAUCCAUUUUGCAAUUUUUUAGAUGAUUGAACAUUUUGCCACAAAUUAUUUGAAGUCAGACGCAAAUGGAUUGAUCGGAUGUACAGCAAGAUUUCCAUUUCAAAGAAAUCGAACCUUCAAAAUGGGAAUAUGUACGGCCUACAUGUCACAGUGCCCCUAAGUCCAGAAGUCUAUAAGGUAGGCG
This is a long non-coding RNA of Musca domestica (house fly), 993 nucleotides long. RefSeq lists it as uncharacterized. NCBI's taxonomy places the organism in Eukaryota, Metazoa, Arthropoda, Insecta, Diptera, Muscidae. The transcript has 6 exons. The record is from RefSeq and is a predicted model, not a curated record.